RNAcentral lists this ribosomal RNA (447 nucleotides) under uncultured bacterium. RNAcentral describes it as "bacterial SSU rRNA". It matches the Rfam family "Bacterial small subunit ribosomal RNA", at positions 39 to 476 of the family's 1533-position model. The record is from RNAcentral.
GGCCGCGGGAAUUCGAUUCGGGCCUAACACAUGCAAGUCGAACGGAGCUUUGAGAUAAGUUUACUUAACGAGAAGCUUAGUGGCGGACGGGUGAGUAACGCGUGGAUAACCUGCCCAAGGGGCCGGGAUAACGCCGGGAAACUGGUGCUAAUACCGGAUAAGUUGCUUUGGUUGCAUAACCAGAGCAAGAAAGGAGCAAUCCGCCCCUGGAUGGAUCCGCGUCCCAUUAGCUAGUUGGUGGGGUAACGGCCUACCAAGGCGACGAUGGGUAGCCGGCCUGAGAGGGUGGCCGGCCACACUGGGACUGAGACACGGCCCAGACUCCUACGGGAGGCAGCAGUGGGGAAUCUUCCGCAAUGGGCGAAAGCCUGACGGAGCAACGCCGCGUGAGUGACAAAGGCCCUUGGGUCGUAAAACUCUGUCUUCAGGGAAGAAAAAAAUGACGGU